CUUCGAUCUUGUAAUCGGCGACAAAGUCUACUUGAGGAUUAAUCGAAUCGGACGUCAAUAAACAUCCAUUAUCCAGAUCUAAGCUAAAAAAAAAAAAAACGAGCGUUAUCGCUAACCAUCGUCUUGGAUCGAAUCGGGUCCAGAAAGCGAAGGGAGUCAACUUGAGUCAAGGAGAACCUCUGUAAAUUGCCACACGUGAUUAUACCGGAGAAACUAAUGCCAGUUUCAAGGAAACGCAGCGUGCAUUGCUCUUGUGAAAUCAGCAAGGAGUUGUGCACAACGUUUACCGAUGCAUCGAAAAUUGUGACAAAAAUGAAAAGUAGCAAUAGGGUCAAAGUCUGUUUCAGUCGAUUCUCUGUCUAAUUUGAAUCCGUGGAAGAUAUUUUUCUUCAGGUUUCUUUGGACAAACUUGCAAAUGUGACAAGUGGUUGUUCAAUGAUACAGGUUUCUCUCCUGCGUCCCUAUGAAAAGUUUUAGCCUCUAGUGAAACCUGUAGAAAACUGAAUAUCAAAUACUGAUUGUAC
This is a long non-coding RNA of Bombus terrestris (buff-tailed bumblebee), 524 nucleotides long. RefSeq lists it as uncharacterized. The record is from RefSeq and is a predicted model, not a curated record. NCBI's taxonomy places the organism in Eukaryota, Metazoa, Arthropoda, Insecta, Hymenoptera, Apidae. The transcript is spliced from 2 exons.